GCCCUUAGAGUUUGAUCAUGGCUCAGAACGAACGCUGGCGGCAGGCUUAACACAUGCAAGUCGAGCGAAGACUUCGGUCUUAGCGGCGGACGGGUGAGUAACGCGUGGGAACGUGCCCUUUGCUACGGAAUAGUCCCUGGAAACGGGGUUUAAUACCGUAUGUCCUCUCUGGAGGAAAGAUUUAUCGGCAAAGGAUCGGCCCGCGUUGGAUUAGGUAGUUGGUGGGGUAAUGGCCUACCAAGCCGACGAUCCAUAGCUGGUUUGAGAGGAUGAUCAGCCACACUGGGACUGAGACACGGCCCAGACUCCUACGGGAGGCAGCAGUGGGGAAUCUUAGACAAUGGGGGAAACCCUGAUCUAGCCAUGCCGCGUGAGCGAUGAAGGCCUUAGGGUUGUAAAGCUCUUUCGCUGGGGAAGAUAAUGACGGUACCCAGUAAAGAAGCCCCGGCUAA
This 452-nucleotide ribosomal RNA is filed under the name uncultured Alphaproteobacteria bacterium. RNAcentral's name for it is "bacterial SSU rRNA". It matches the Rfam family "Bacterial small subunit ribosomal RNA", at positions 1 to 500 of the family's 1533-position model. The record is from RNAcentral. Lineage: Bacteria; Pseudomonadati; Pseudomonadota; Alphaproteobacteria.